This is a non-coding RNA of Caerostris darwini, 111 nucleotides long. The record is from the annotation of a GenBank genome assembly. Lineage: Eukaryota; Metazoa; Arthropoda; Arachnida; Araneae; Araneidae.
AUGGCCAUACCAUGCUGAAUAUACCGGUUCUCGUUAGAUCACCGAAGUCAAGCAUCAUUGGGCGUGGUCAGUACUUGGGUGGGUGACCACCUGGGAACACCGCGUGCCGUU